UUGCACAGCUUUUCUGGAGUUUCAGCCUGGCCUUCCAUGCUGUGCACAGUGAUAAUGUGCUGUGAGCUGGCAGAAUGUGCUCCUGCCUCCCCUGCUGAAGGUCACAAAAUAAGGAUCUGGGUGCUGCCCACAGGCCAUGAACCUUUCGUGAGCUGGGCAAAGCUGCAAGAAAACCUGCUGCCCUGGACAAGGAGCACACAUAAAAGUGAAAUCUGACACUUAGGCUGUUUUGUUCUCGACCUGGGGACAAGUCCUUAUCAGCAGAGAGGGUCAGCAAGACCUGGAACAUAUGCUUUCUGUCCUCCUCUUCUUUUUGAGGCACAGUGCCCCAGACUAGACCCAGUCCUCACAUCUCCAACCUGCCAAGAUCAUUUGAAGCUGCAAAGUUUUUCCUCUGAUGUGCUGAAGCACCUCUACCAGCUCCAUAUCACUGCCAGCGAGAGAGGCACCAUGUUUACAUUUUUUCCCAGUCUUCUGGUGCCUCACCUGCCCUCCAAGAGCUCUCAAGGAGAAGUGUUUGUAUUCCUGAGAUGGCGCCUCUAAGUAUGUACGAAGAAUUUUCUUCAACAUGGCUGACCUGAAGGCAUUCAGCCUUUCUAAACUUGUCCUUUCUGUGGCAGAAGGAAGGAGUGGCAUGCUCAGCAGUGGAGAUUUGUGGACACCCCCUCUUGCUUCCAGUGCUCAGCAGCCUUCAUUCUUUUUACAGCUUCACAUGCAGGUUCUCAUGCCCCAACUGAUGCAGCCCUGUCUCGUCUCCUGCCCUUUGUCAUCACUCCAAAACCUCAAGCCAAUGCCUCUGAAAUAUUUCCUGCAAAAUUCAGGGACCUUUGUGUGGCUUCAAACUGUCUGCAUCACUGUGAAAGAUGUACUUAUAAACUUCUAACUGCU
Serinus canaria (Common canary) is the source of this 888-nucleotide long non-coding RNA. RefSeq lists it as uncharacterized. NCBI's taxonomy places the organism in Eukaryota, Metazoa, Chordata, Aves, Passeriformes, Fringillidae. The record is from RefSeq and is a predicted model, not a curated record. The transcript is spliced from 3 exons.